CGACCGCUGGCGGCAUGCCUACCACAUGCAAGUCGACCGAGACCUUCGGGUCUAGUGGCGCCCGGGUGCGUAACGCGUGGGAACCUGCCCUUAGGUUCGGAAUAACUCCCCGAAAGGGGUGCUAAUACCGGAUAAUGUCUUCGGACCAAAGAUUUAUCGCCUUUGGAUGGGCCCGCGUUGGAUUAGCUAGUUGGUAGGGUAAAAGCCUACCAAGGCGACGAUCCAUAGCUGGUCUGAGAGGAUGAUCAGCCACACUGGGACUGAGACACGGCCCAGACUCCUACGGGAGGCAGCAGUGGGGAAUAUUGGACAAUGGGCGAAAGCCUGAUCCAGCAAUGCCGCGUGAGUGAUGAAGGCCUUAGGGUUGUAAAGCUCUUUUACCCGGGAUGAUAAUGACAGUACCGGGAGAAUAAGCUCCGGCUAACUCCGUG
RNAcentral lists this ribosomal RNA (431 nucleotides) under uncultured bacterium. RNAcentral's name for it is "partial 16S ribosomal RNA". It matches the Rfam family "Bacterial small subunit ribosomal RNA", at positions 30 to 507 of the family's 1533-position model. The record is from RNAcentral.